CACCAAAUUCCCCACCACCGCCACACUCACAGCCCCCGCCUCCACCACCAGUUUAUUCUUCACCACCGCCUCCUGUCAAUUCUCCACCUCCCCCAUAUCACUCUCCUCCACCUCCCCCAUAUCACUCUCCUCCACCUCCAUCACCCCCACCUUGUAUAGAACCGCCUCCACCUCCACCACCAUGUGUAGAGUAUUCACCCCCCCCACCCCCUCAAUCGCCCCCCCCACCUUCUCCACCAUCACCAGUGUAUUCUCCUCCACCGCCUCCUACUCCACCUCCCCCACAAUCAUCACCGCCACCACCACCAUCCCUGUCUCCCCCGCCGCCUCCUACACCACCCCCACCAUCUCCGUUACCUCCAUGUGUACGUUCCCCACCACCGCCUCCACCAAAUUCACCACCACCUCCAUCACCAAUAUUCUCCCCACCACCACCUAUUCCUUACUAUUAUAACUCCCCACCACCCCCAUCACCUCCACAUUCGCCUCCACCUCCACAUUCGCCUCCACCACCAGUUUAUCCUUACUUAUCACCUCCACCACCACCUCCUGUCAAUUCUCCACCUCCCCCAGUUUAUUCAUCACCGCCUCCACCCCCACCUUGUAUAGAACCGCCUCCACCUCCACCUCCACCAUGUAUAGAGUAUUCACCACCUCCACCCCCACCUUCAUCGUCACCGCCUCCUCCUAUACAUUAUAAGCCACCACCAUCACCAUCCCCACCACCACCACCAGCAGUUUACUACCAUUCUCCCCCACCAUUGUCGCCUCCACCCCCAC
Molecule: long non-coding RNA, 780 nt
Filed under: Populus trichocarpa (black cottonwood)
Lineage: Eukaryota; Viridiplantae; Streptophyta; Magnoliopsida; Malpighiales; Salicaceae
Description: long non-coding RNA (PTRI_LNC004011)
Source: RNAcentral